This 496-nucleotide ribosomal RNA is filed under the name uncultured bacterium. Its description in RNAcentral is "partial 16S ribosomal RNA". It matches the Rfam family "Bacterial small subunit ribosomal RNA", at positions 28 to 506 of the family's 1533-position model. The record is from RNAcentral.
GAUGAACGCUGGCGGCGUGCCUAAUACAUGCAAGUCGAGCGAACGGACGAGAAGCUUGCUUCUCUGAUGUUAGCGGCGGACGGGUGAGUAACACGUGGAUAACCUACCUAUAAGACUGGGAUAACUUCGGGAAACCGGAGCUAAUACCGGAUGAUAUUUUGAACCGCAUGGUUCAAAAGUGAAAGACGGUCUUGCUGUCACUUAUAGAUGGAUCCGCGCUGCAUUAGCUAGUUGGUAAGGUAACGGCUUACCAAGGCAACGAUGCAUAGCCGACCUGAAGGGGUAGCCGCCACACUUGAACUGAGACACCGGCCAGACCCCCACGGGGGGGAGGAGGUGGGAAUUCUUCCGCAAGGGCGGAAAGCCUAACGGGGCAACCCCGGUUGGUGAAUAAGGGUUUUGGGUUGGUAAACCUUUUUUUUUGGGAAAAAAAAAAUGUGGAAGUAACCGUGCACCUCUGGCGGGAACCAAAGAAGAAGCCCCCGGCUACCUCCGU